AUUCCCCGUGAAGGCGACGGCCCUAUGGGUUGUAACCUCUUUUGUAUAGGGAUAACCUACUCUCGUGAGAGUAGCUGAAGGUACUAUACGAAUAAGCACCGGCUAACUCCGUGCCAGCAGCCGCGGUAAUACGGAGGGUGCAAGCGUUAUCCGGAUUUAUUGGGUUUAAAGGGUCCGUAGGCGGAUCUGUAAGUCAGUGGUGAAAUCUCACAGCUUAACUGUGAAACUGCCAUUGAUACUGCAGGUCUUGAGUGUUAUUGAAGUAGCUGGAAUAAGUAGUGUAGCGGUGAAAUGCAUAGAUAUUACUUAGAACACCAAUUGCGAAGGCAGGUUACUAAGCAACAACUGACGCUGAUGGACGAAAGCGUGGGGAGCGAACAGGAUUAGAUACCCUGGUAGUCCACGCCGUAAACGAUGCUAACUCGUUUUUGGGUUUUCGGAUUCAGAGACUAAGCGAAAGUGAUAAGUUAGCCACCUGGGGAGUACGUUCGCAAGAAUGAAACUCAAAGGAAUUGACGGGGGCCCGCACAAGCGGUGGAUUAUGUGGUUUAAUUCGAUGAUACGCGAGGAACCUUACCAAGGCUUAAAUGGGAAAUGACAGGUUUAGAAAUAGACUUUUCUUCGGACAUUUUUCAAGGUGCUGCAUGGUUGUCGUCAGCUCGUGCCGUGAGGUGUUAGGUUAAGUCCUGCAACGAGCGCAACCCCUGUCACUAGUUGCCAUCAUUAAGUUGGGGACUCUAGUGAGACUGCCUACGCAAGUAGAGAGGAAGGUGGGGAUGACGUCAAAUCAUCACGGCCCUUACGCCUUGGGCCACACACGUAAUACAAUGGCCGGUACAGAGGGCAGCUACACAGCGAUGUGAUGCAAAUCUCGAAAGCCGGUCUCAGUUCGGAUUGGAGUCUGCAACUCGACUCUAUGAAGCUGGAAUCGCUAGUAAUCGCGCAUCAGCCAUGGCGCGGUGAAUACGUUCCCGGGCCUUGUACACACCGCCCGUCAAGCCAUGGAAGUCUGGGGUACCUGAAGUCGGUGACCGUAACAGGAGCUGCCUAGGUAGAGCCAGAG
RNAcentral lists this ribosomal RNA (1063 nucleotides) under Chryseobacterium sediminis. RNAcentral describes it as "bacterial SSU rRNA". It matches the Rfam family "Bacterial small subunit ribosomal RNA", at positions 394 to 1472 of the family's 1533-position model. Lineage: Bacteria; Pseudomonadati; Bacteroidota; Flavobacteriia; Flavobacteriales; Weeksellaceae. The record is from RNAcentral.